RNAcentral lists this transfer RNA (66 nucleotides) under Podarcis lilfordi (Lilford's wall lizard). RNAcentral describes it as "tRNA.Lys". The record is from RNAcentral. Lineage: Eukaryota; Metazoa; Chordata; Lepidosauria; Squamata; Lacertidae.
GCACUCAGUUGCUAGAGCACGAGACUCUUAAUCUCAGAGUCAUGGGUUCGAGCCUCAUGUUAGGCA